RNAcentral lists this ribosomal RNA (450 nucleotides) under uncultured Glomeromycotina. RNAcentral describes it as "SSU rRNA". It matches the Rfam family "Eukaryotic small subunit ribosomal RNA", at positions 569 to 1023 of the family's 1831-position model. The record is from RNAcentral. Lineage: Eukaryota; Fungi; Glomeromycota.
AGCAGCCGCGGUAAUUCCAGCUCCAAUAGCGUAUAUUAAAGUUGUUGCAGUUAAAAAGCUCGUAGUUGAAUUUCGGGAUCAGUACGCUGGUCGUGCCUUUGGUAUGUACUGGUGUCACUGAUUCCUCCCUUCUGAAGAACCGUUAUGCCAUUUAUUUGGUGUGGCGGGGAAUCAGGACUGUUACUUUGAAAAAAUUAGAGUGUUUAAAGCAGGCUCGCGCUUGAAUACAUUAGCGUGGAAUAAUGAAAUAGGACGUUUGAUUCUAUUUUGUUGGUUUCUAGGAUCGACGUAAUGAUUAAUAGGGAUAGUUGGGGGCAUUAGUAUUCAAUUGUCAGAGGUGAAAUUCUUGGAUUUAUUGAAGACUAACUACUGCGAAAGCAUUUGCCAAGGAUGUUUUCAUUAAUCAAGAACGAAAGUUAGGGGAUCGAAGACGAUCAGAUACCGUCGUAG